ACCCGGCUGGCUCAGUCAGUAGGGCACGUGACUCUUGAUCUCGGGGUUGUGAGUUUGAGUCCCACUUUGGGCA
RNAcentral lists this transfer RNA (73 nucleotides) under Felis catus (domestic cat). It matches the Rfam family "tRNA". From Rfam's summary of the family: Transfer RNA (tRNA) molecules are approximately 80 nucleotides in length. Their secondary structure includes four short double-helical elements and three loops (D, anti-codon, and T loops). Further hydrogen bonds mediate the characteristic L-shaped molecular structure. tRNAs have two regions of fundamental functional importance: the anti-codon, which is responsible for specific mRNA codon recognition, and the 3' end, to which the tRNAs corresponding amino acid is attached (by aminoacyl-tRNA synthetases). tRNAs cope with the degeneracy of the genetic code in two manners: having more than one tRNA (with a specific anti-codon) for a particular amino acid; and 'wobble' base-pairing, i.e. permitting non-standard base-pairing at the 3rd anti-codon position. The record is from Rfam by way of RNAcentral. Lineage: Eukaryota; Metazoa; Chordata; Mammalia; Carnivora; Felidae.